RNAcentral lists this transfer RNA (74 nucleotides) under Camelus bactrianus (Bactrian camel). It matches the Rfam family "tRNA". From Rfam's summary of the family: Transfer RNA (tRNA) molecules are approximately 80 nucleotides in length. Their secondary structure includes four short double-helical elements and three loops (D, anti-codon, and T loops). Further hydrogen bonds mediate the characteristic L-shaped molecular structure. tRNAs have two regions of fundamental functional importance: the anti-codon, which is responsible for specific mRNA codon recognition, and the 3' end, to which the tRNAs corresponding amino acid is attached (by aminoacyl-tRNA synthetases). tRNAs cope with the degeneracy of the genetic code in two manners: having more than one tRNA (with a specific anti-codon) for a particular amino acid; and 'wobble' base-pairing, i.e. permitting non-standard base-pairing at the 3rd anti-codon position. RNAcentral also lists the same sequence under 2 other names. The record is from Rfam by way of RNAcentral. Lineage: Eukaryota; Metazoa; Chordata; Mammalia; Artiodactyla; Camelidae.
GAGGGUAUAGCUCAAGUGGUAGAGUGCAUGCCUUGGCAUGCACAAGGUCCUGAGUUCAAUCCCCAGUACCUCCU